AACGGUCUAUACCUGCGGUACCUGCGGAAGGAUCAUUACCGAGUUAUCAACUCCCAAACCCCUGUGAACAUACCCGAACGUUGCCUCGGCGGGACCGCCCCGGCGCCCCUAGCGGCCCGGAACCAGGCGCCCGCCGGAGGACCCAAACUCUUGCUUUAAACAGUGGCAUACUCUCUGAGUCUCACAAACAAAAAUAAAUCAAAACUUUCAACAACGGAUCUCUAGAUCGGAAGAGCACAC
This 240-nucleotide unclassified non-coding RNA is filed under the name soil metagenome. RNAcentral describes it as "partial contains 5.8S ribosomal RNA, internal transcribed spacer 2, and large subunit ribosomal RNA". The record is from RNAcentral.